UAGGGAAUCUUCCGCAAUGGGCGAAAGCCUGACGGAGCAACGCCGCGUGAGUGAUGAAGGUCUUCGGAUCGUAAAACUCUGUUAUUAGGGAAGAACAAAUGUGUAAGUAACUAUGCACGUCUUGACGGUACCUAAUCAGAAAGCCACGGCUAACUACGUGCCAGCAGCCGCGGUAAUACGUAGGUGGCAAGCGUUAUCCGGAAUUAUUGGGCGUAAAGCGCGCGUAGGCGGUUUGUUAAGUCUGAUGUGAAAGCCCACGGCUCAACCGUGGAGGGUCAUUGGAAACUGGAAAACUUGAGUGCAGAAGAGGAAAGUGGAAUUCCAUGUGUAGCGGUGAAAUGCGCAGAGAUAUGGAGGAACACCAGUGGCGAAGGCGACUUUCUGGUCUGUAACUGACGCUGAUGUGCGAAAGCGUGGGGAUCAAACAGG
RNAcentral lists this ribosomal RNA (429 nucleotides) under Actinomycetes bacterium. RNAcentral describes it as "Actinobacteria bacterium partial 16S ribosomal RNA". It matches the Rfam family "Bacterial small subunit ribosomal RNA", at positions 355 to 776 of the family's 1533-position model. Lineage: Bacteria; Bacillati; Actinomycetota; Actinomycetes. The record is from RNAcentral.